UACGAAGGGGGCUAGCGUUGCUCGGAAUCACUGGGCGUAAAGGGUGCGUAGGCGGGUCUUUAAGUCAGGGGUGAAAUCCCUCGGCUUAACCGGGGAACUGCGUCUGAUACUGGAUGGCUUGAGUUUGGGAGAGGGAUGCGGAAUUCCAGGUGUAGCGGUGAAAUGCGUAGAUAUCUGGAGGAACACCGGUGGCGAAGGCGGCAUCCUGGACCAAGACUGACACUGAAAAGCGAAAGCCAGGGGAGCAAACGGG
This 253-nucleotide ribosomal RNA is filed under the name uncultured bacterium. Its description in RNAcentral is "partial 16S ribosomal RNA". It matches the Rfam family "Bacterial small subunit ribosomal RNA", at positions 524 to 776 of the family's 1533-position model. The record is from RNAcentral.